UACGUAGGCAGCGAGCGUUGUUCGGAGUUACUGGGCGUAAAGCGUGCGUAGGCGGUGUCCUAAGUCUGUUGUGAAAUCCCCCGGCUUAACCGGGAGGGUGCGGCGGAAACUGGGGUGCUGGAGUGCGGGAGAGGUAAGCGGAAUUCCCGGUGUAGCGGUGAAACGCGUAGAUAUCGGGAGGAACACCUGCGGUGUAGACGGCUUACUGGACCGUAACUGACGCUGAGGCACGAAAGCGUGGGGAGCAAACAGG
This 253-nucleotide ribosomal RNA is filed under the name uncultured prokaryote. RNAcentral describes it as "partial 16S ribosomal RNA". It matches the Rfam family "Bacterial small subunit ribosomal RNA", at positions 524 to 776 of the family's 1533-position model. The record is from RNAcentral.